AGUGAUCGAAAGAUGAAAAGCACUUUGGAAAGAGAGUUAAAAAGCACGUGAAAUUGUUGAAAGGGAAGGGAUUGCAACCAGACUUGCUCGCGGUGUUCCGCCGGUCUUCUGACCGGUCUACUCGCCGCGUUGCAGGCCAGCAUCGUCUGGUGCCGCUGGAUAAGACUUGAGGAAUGUAGCUCCCUCGGGAGUGUUAUAGCCUCUUGUGAUGCAGCGAGCGCCGGGCGAGGUCCGCGCUUCGGCUAGGAUGCUGGCGUAAUGGUUGUAAUCCGCCCGUCUUGAAACACGGUCACGUACUGUUUAACUCUCUUUCCAAGUGCUUUUCAUCUUUCCCUCACGGUACUUGUUCGCUAUCGGUCU
This 360-nucleotide ribosomal RNA is filed under the name Cladosporium sp. SW074. Its description in RNAcentral is "LSU rRNA". The stretch from base 1 to 289 matches the Rfam family "Eukaryotic large subunit ribosomal RNA", at positions 352 to 664 of the family's 3401-position model. The record is from RNAcentral. Lineage: Eukaryota; Fungi; Ascomycota; Dothideomycetes; Cladosporiales; Cladosporiaceae.